This 253-nucleotide ribosomal RNA is filed under the name uncultured bacterium. RNAcentral's name for it is "partial 16S ribosomal RNA". It matches the Rfam family "Bacterial small subunit ribosomal RNA", at positions 524 to 776 of the family's 1533-position model. The record is from RNAcentral.
UACGAAGGUCCCAAGCGUUGUUCGGAAUCACUGGGCGUAAAGGGAGCGUAGGCGGCGUGGUAAGUCAGAUGUGAAAUCCCGGGGCUCAACCCCGGAACUGCAUCCGAUACUGCCAUGCUAGAGGAUUGGAGAGGUGACUGGAAUUCUCGGUGUAGCAGUGAAAUGCGUAGAUAUCGAGAGGAACACUCGUGGCGAAAGCGAGUCACUGGACAAUUCCUGACGCUGAGGCUCGAAGGCUAGGGUAGCGAAAGGG